AAAGUAUUAGUUAAACAAUAACAUUAAACUGUCAAAUUAAAAUUACUAUAGUAUACUUUA
RNAcentral lists this transfer RNA (60 nucleotides) under Chaetogammarus marinus. RNAcentral's name for it is "tRNA-Asp". The record is from RNAcentral. Lineage: Eukaryota; Metazoa; Arthropoda; Malacostraca; Amphipoda; Gammaridae.